CAGGUUUACCUGUGUGACUGCGUACCUUUUGUAUAAUGGGUCAGCGACUUAUAUUCUGUAGCAAGGUUAACCGAAUAGGGGAGCCGGAGGGAAACCGAGUCUUAACCGGGCGUUAAGUUGCAGGGUAUAGACCCGAAACCCGGUGAUCUAGCCAUGGGCAGGUUGAAGGUUGGGUAACACUAACUGGAGGACCGAACCGACUAAUGUUGAAAAAUUAGCGGAUGACCUGUGGCUGGGGGUGAAAGGCCAAUCAAACCGGGAGAUAGCUGGUUCUCCCCGAAAGCUAUUUAGGUAGCGCCUCGUGAAUUCAUCUCCGGGGGUAGAGCACUGUUUCGGCUAGGGGGCCAUCCCGGCUUACCAACCCGAUGCAAACUGCGAAUACCGGAGAAUGUUAUCACGGGAGACACACGGCGGGUGCUAACGUCCGUCGUGAAGAGGGAAACAACCCAGACCGCCAGCUAAGGUCCCAAAGUCAUGGUUAAGUGGGAAACGAUGUGGGAAGGCCCAGACAGCCAGGAUGUUGGCUUAGAAGCAGCCAUCAUUUAAAGAAAGCGUAAUAGCUCACUGGUCGAGUCGGCCUGCGCGGAAGAUGUAACGGGGCUAAACCAUGCACCGAAGCUGCGGCAGCGAACGUAUCACUUAAAGCGAUUCAGCGGGUUACGAUUGACGGAGCGAAGCGACGUCAAAGCGUAUACAAAGUCGAGUCGGUUUAAGGAUACGUUCGUUGGGUAGGGGAGCGUUCUGUAAGCCGUUGAAGGUGGCCUGUGAGGGUUGCUGGAGGUAUCAGAAGUGCGAAUGCUGACAUAAGUAACGAUAAAGCGGGUGAAAAGCCCGCUCGCCGGAAGACCAAGGGUUCCUGUCCAACGUUAAUCGGGGCAGGGUGAGUCGACCCCUAAGGCGAGGCCGAAAGGCGUAGUCGAUGGGAAACGGGUUAAUAUUCCCGUACUUGGUGUUACUGCGAAGGGGGGACGGAGAAGGCUAUGUUGGCCGGGCGACGGUUGUCCCGGUUUAAGCGUGUAGGUGUGUGUUCCAGGUAAAUCCGGUUCACUUUAACACUGAGGCGUGAUGACGAGGCACUACGGUGCUGAAGCAACAAAUGCCCUGCUUCCAGGAAAAGCCUCUAAGCAUCAGGUAACAUCAAAUCGUACCCCAAACCGACACAGGUGGUCAGGUAGAGAAUACCAAGGCGCUUGAGAGAACUCGGGUGAAGGAACUAGGCAAAAUGGUGCCGUAACU
RNAcentral lists this ribosomal RNA (1236 nucleotides) under Salmonella enterica subsp. enterica serovar Enteritidis. RNAcentral's name for it is "partial 23S ribosomal RNA". It matches the Rfam family "Bacterial large subunit ribosomal RNA", at positions 580 to 1735 of the family's 2925-position model. Lineage: Bacteria; Pseudomonadati; Pseudomonadota; Gammaproteobacteria; Enterobacterales; Enterobacteriaceae. The record is from RNAcentral.